AGAGUUUGAUCAUGGCUCAGAAUCAACGCUGGCGGCGCGCUUAACACAUGCAAGUCGAACGGGAAAGUGGAGCAAUCCAUGAGUACAGUGGCGUACGGGUGAGUAACACGUGGGUGAUCUACCUCUUAGUGGGGAAUAACCCUGGGAAACCGGAGCUAAUACCGCAUAAGCCCGAGAGGGGAAAGUCGCAAGACGCUGAGAGAGGAGCCCGCGGCCGAUUAGCUAGUUGGUAGGGUAAAAGCCUACCAAGGCAGAGAUCGGUAGCCGGCCUGAGAGGGCACACGGCCACACUGGCACUGAAACACGGGCCAGACUCCUACGGGAGGCAGCAGUGGGGAAUCUUGCACAAUGGGGGAAACCCUGAUGCAGCGACGCCGCGUGAGCGAUGAAGCCCUUCGGGGUGUAAAGCUCUUUCGUCAGGGAAGAUAGUGACGGUACCUGGAGAAGCAGCUGCGGCUAACUACGUGCCAGCAGCCGCGGUAAUACGUAGGCAGCGAGCGUUGUUCGGAGUUACUGGGCGUAAAGGGUGUGUAGGCGGUUCUUUAAGUUUGGUGUGAAAUCUCCCGGCUCAACCGGGAGGGUGCGCCGAAUACUGAGGGACUUCGAGUGCGGGAGAGGAAAGUGGAAUUCCUGGUGUAGCGGUGAAAUGCGUAGAUAUCAGGAGGAACACCGGUGGUGUAGACGGCUUUCUGGACCGUAACUGACGCUGAGACACGAAAGCGUGGGUAGCAAACAGGAUUAGAUACCCCAGUAGUCC
This 757-nucleotide ribosomal RNA is filed under the name uncultured bacterium. Its description in RNAcentral is "bacterial SSU rRNA". It matches the Rfam family "Bacterial small subunit ribosomal RNA", at positions 8 to 796 of the family's 1533-position model. The record is from RNAcentral.